Molecule: ribosomal RNA, 467 nt
Filed under: uncultured bacterium
Lineage: Bacteria
Description: bacterial SSU rRNA
Rfam family: Bacterial small subunit ribosomal RNA
Source: RNAcentral
AGGACGAACGCUGGCGGCGUGCUUAACACAUGCAAGUCGAACGGUGACGGAGAGCUUGCUCUCCUGAUCAGUGGCGAACGGGUGAGUAACACGUGGGCAACCUGCCCCAGACUUCGGGAUAACGCUUCGAAAGAGGUGCUAAUACCGGGUACGAGCUCCUUGGGCAUCCUUGGAGUUGGAAAGUUUUUCGGUCUGGGAUGGGCCCGCGGCCUAUCAGCUAGUUGGUGAGGUAACGGCUCACCAAGGCGACGACGGGUAGCCGGCCUGAGAGGGCGACCGGCCACACUGGGACUGAGACACGGCCCAGACUCCUACGGGAGGCAGCAGUGGGGAAUAUUGCGCAAUGGGCGAAAGCCUGACGCAGCAACGCCGCGUGAGGGAUGACGGCCUUCGGGUUGUAAACCUCUUUCAGCAGGGAAGAAGCGAAAGUGACGGUACCUGCAGAAGAAGCACCGGCUAACUACGUG